CAGCCGCCACGGUAAUACGUAGGUGGCAAGCGUUGUCCGGAAUUAUUGGGCGUAAAGGGCAUGUAGGCGGUUGGGUAAGCCUGGCGUGAAAUCUACGAGCUUAACUCGUAAACUGCGUUGGGUACUGCCCAUCUUGAAUCAUAGAGGGGAAACUGGAAUUCCAAGUGUAGGGGUGGAAUCUGUAGAUAUUUGGAAGAACACCGGUGGCGAAGGCGGGUUUCUAGCUAAUGAUUGACGCUAAGGUGCGAAGGUGCGGGGAGCAAACAGGAUUAGAUACCCCCGUAGUCCCUGUCUCUUAUAC
RNAcentral lists this ribosomal RNA (301 nucleotides) under uncultured bacterium. RNAcentral describes it as "partial 16S ribosomal RNA". It matches the Rfam family "Bacterial small subunit ribosomal RNA", at positions 509 to 807 of the family's 1533-position model. The record is from RNAcentral.